This 433-nucleotide ribosomal RNA is filed under the name uncultured bacterium. Its description in RNAcentral is "partial 16S ribosomal RNA". It matches the Rfam family "Bacterial small subunit ribosomal RNA", at positions 29 to 507 of the family's 1533-position model. The record is from RNAcentral.
AAUGAACGCUGGCGGCAUGCCUAACACAUGCAAGUCGAACGAGACCUUCGGGUCUAGUUGCGCACGGGUGCGGAACGUGGGGGAACCUUCCCUUAGGUAUGGGAUAACUCUCUGACAGGGGUGCUAAUACCGGAUAAUGUAUUCGGACCAAAGAUUUAACCCCCUUGGGGGGGCGCGCGUUGGUUUAGCUAGUUGGGAGGGUAAAAGCCUAUCAGGGCGACGAUCCAUAGCUGGUCUGAGAGGAAGAUCAGCCACACUGGGGCUGAGACGCGGUCGAGACUCCUGCGGGAUGGGGGAGAGGGGGAUACAGGAAAACGGGGGAGAGGAUGAUGCAGCAAUGGCGGGAAAGUGCUGAAGGUCUUAGGGUUGUACAGCUGUUUUACCCGGGGUGGUAAUGACGGUACCGGGAGAAUAAGCACCGGCUAACUCCGUG